This 21401-nucleotide long non-coding RNA is filed under the name Salvia miltiorrhiza (redroot sage). Its description in RNAcentral is "long non-coding RNA (SMIL_LNC005683)". Lineage: Eukaryota; Viridiplantae; Streptophyta; Magnoliopsida; Lamiales; Lamiaceae. The record is from RNAcentral.
UAUUCUACCCCACCGCAUAGGAGUGAUGAAUUUAAUAAGCAAAGCCCACAAAUAAUUAUUCAGCCCAAAUUCGCAUCCCAAUUCAAUCCGACAUGUCAGCCCAAUUUAAAAGCCCAGUCCAAUUGAGAAAAGAAGUACUACUAUAAUUCCAAGCCCAAACCAUGCUGUUUUUACAUAGAUAACCAUGUCCAGUUUUAACAACCACGCGCCACUUUCCCAUACUCCGGCCGGCCACCACCGCCGUGCGCCGCCACUAGCUAAUCCUAGUCGGUCCAACUCUGCAACUGCCUUCUGUACUAUGCAUUUUAUAUUGCAAUAUUACUUCUUUUUAUCAAAAUUUGUUGAUCAUACAAUAAAUCAAUGCUCCAAAUUGGUUCAUAUUUAAACUUAGGUGAAAGUUUUCAUUCGAUCAUCUUCACCUUUGGUGUUUUGAUGCAUGAAAUUGUGACUGGAAAGAAAAAAAACACAGAUUCUACCAUUUUGAUAGAGGUUAACCAUAGUUGAUAGCUAAAAUCUAUAGUUUUUAUCUGUUUUUUCAACAUAAUGAACUGCAUUCAAAUUAAGUGAGACAUUCAUGAACAUUCAAAUUAUAACUGGUUGAUCUGCCGAUGCUCUAAAGCAAGAAUCCUAUUCACAUGUUAAACUAUCCUUUUUUGAGUUUUCAAAGCUGUGUAAUUACAUGAAAGCGUAAAAGAAAGUGGAAUUAGUUCAACAAACAAUCUUGUAAUAUUUUUGAAUCCAGAAUGACUCAAGCUGCAAGUAAAUUUAUUAAACACAAAAACAAUACUUGAAAAUAUUUUCGAAGUUUCUGUGCAUUAUGCAUACCUAAAAUGCGAGCAGAAAUUCAAAAACUUGAAAAAAAGGAUGAAUUAUUUAAAGCCCCAAUUUUCUAGGGCAAACGUUCCUCAUCACGAAUUGUUGAAACACAAAGCGGCAUUCCAAGAUUUACAAGGAAAAUAAAUAGUGCUUAUCUCGAAUUAGUCUGAGGUGAAUCGGAGGAAUUGAGAUCUUGAUCGGAAUGGAGCAUUUUUCCGUCGGCGGGAACGAGGCGAGGAAUUCCAUCCACAAUCGGGUAAGAAACGCCGAUAGAAUCGCUUACGAGUGAAUUUGUUUUCUCGCACAUCCUUAAGGGCUGUUUGGUGAGAGGGCAGACGAGAAUCUCCGCCAGUCUGGAGCUUAUUCCGGCGGCGGCGCUUUUCAGCAGCACUCCGCUCCGUCUCACCAUCUCUGGAGCUUAUUCCGGCCUUGUUGACUGCCCCAAGAAGGAGCUGCUGCACUUUAAGCUACGUGUAGUGAUAAACGUGAACGCCAAACAGCACUUUAUCAGCCUACCACCUAUUUUUUUCAAGUUUUUUCUUUUAUGCAUUCUUUUCUGAUAGGAUUAAUAGUGCUUUUGAGAUUAAAUUUGUAGAUACACUUUUCAUUGUUGAUGGGAUAAUACACAAUGAAUUAUAAAGGUGUUUGGCUAAGCUUAUUUUAAAUAGCUUAUAAGUUCUUGGAGCUUAUUUUCUUGCAUUUGUAGCACGACAAGCAUCCUUGAAAGACGCGGAGAUGCAUUCUCGGCUCACUUUGGACUUGAAGGAGCACAUUUGGUCUCGUUUUGGUCCGAUUGAGCCCUAGAAAAUUAUUGUAAUUUUUAUUUUAUUAUCGUAUUUUAAUUAUGUCUUUAAUUUUAUUUUAAUUAUUGUAAUGUAGAAUUUUUAAUUUUAAUGAAUUUUGGAAUUUUAAAAUUAAAAGUGUAGAAACAUGAAUUUUGUGAAAAUGAGGAUCUAAGCACCCUUCUAAGACACAAUGCAUUGGAGAUGAGUGUGUCUUAGGUGGGAACCAUCAUCUAAGACACCCCUCUAAGACACUUGUAUUGGAAAUGCUCUGAGGAAGUUAAAAAUGCUGAAAUUACAAUGAAACAGUAAGAAACUAGAAGAAAUGCUAAAUCUAACUUUUACGUAGGUAGAUUAUUUUGAACCAACUGUUAUAGGAGUAUUAGAUUUGAAAUCUUCUGUUUUCCACUCAACAAGAAGGGGGAGAAUAAGUACGUAUUUUAAGGGUGGGAUCGACAAUAUUCCCAUCUGAUCUGUAUGGGCAAAUUAUAUUUCAAAUAUUCGAUCAAUGGAAUCCCGAAAAACUCCAUUACCCAAUGCCAAUGGUAAGGGAGUCCAUUGGAUCAUUGGUGGGCAAAACUGUAAAUCUAUCUGAAUUUAGGCGACUAUAUAAAGUCCAUCUAAUGCCCAUAAAUUACCCAAAAAUUAAAUCUGAGGAAUUUGGUUAGGGCAUCCUAUUGAUCUCUUUUAUUCGCAGCUCAAUUUUGCGAUCACAGCGAAACCCUAACCAUACAAUUCAAUCAUGUCGACCAAGCAAGGUAAAUUGUUCAUCGAAUUACGCGAAAUAGUAUCUUACAUAUGAGAUGAUAUAAUUUUGUUUUUCAGUAUUGUUGUUAAUGAAGAAGAUGAUGUUUUUGCUGAUUUUUUUGUUCUGUCUUUUGCUGUUGUGGCCCUGCAUCAGGUGGAAAAGCCAAGCCUUUGAAGCAACCUAAGGCUGAAAAGAAAGAAUACGACGAGGUACUAUUUUGCGGCAAUUGUCUGUUAAAUUUGGGAAUUACGACUAUUUGGUUUUGUUUAUGGGAAAUAACUCUGUUUUCUGUUAUGUGUGAUUUGUGGUUGCUUGCUGUAUAAUUUUAUAUGCAGCAAUUAUGGUAUUGGGGGUGUAUCUGCUGCCUCCUUUAAAAAAAAGUUAUGUUAUGAAUCGUGUAAAAUUCUCUGAGAUAUUGCCUUUUCAUCGAAAUUAUAUUUGUUGCGUAUUGUUGAGAUUGAACUUCCUACCCACCUAGGGCUUGAUCUUAGAACAAAUUUUCUCGCAUGUUUCUCUCUUAUUUUUUUUAUUUUGAUGUUCAAGAGAUGCAUAUUAAAUUUCUAAUUGUAGAUGUAAUGGUUUUUGAGCUGUAUACUUUUAAUUUUCCAGAUACCCUGCUAUUGAAAGAAAAAUAUUGGAAUAAACACAUGCUUUAUUCUCAUAUUGGAUUCAGAUUGUCCCCACUCUCUUCUCCAUUUUUAGUUUGGGAUUAAUUUUCUUAUUUUGUAUUUUGAUUUGCAGACUGACAAGGCUAAUAUUCAAAAGAAGAAAGAAGAAGAGAAGGUAAACUAUCUUCUCCACACUGCCAUGCCCUAUGAUUGGUCACUAUCUCGCCGAUAAUAAUAAUAGUAAAAAAAAAAUUAUGUUCUUGUUAGGCUCUUAAGGAGCUGAAGGCAAAGGCCCAGCAGAAAGGGGCAUUUGGAGGCUCUGGUCUGAAGAAAAGUGGCAAGAAAUGAGUCCUGAAACGCAGCUCGUUGCCUGCCAUUGUUUUUCUGUUUGUCAUUUUCUGUGUAUGCUAUUUAAACAUGUUAGCUUGUUCCUGCUGUGAUGGUUAAUGGGGCCGUGAAAGACUUGUGGAUAUAAGAUUGUAUGUUCAACUGUUUGAAUCUAUGAAAUGGUUUAUGUCUGAAGCGUAUCAUUGUUCUGUUUUUUAUUUUUAUUGAGUAGAUUUUUUAUGAGUUUUUCUGCUAGUACCCGAUGAUCUAUCCAUCCACUAUCCUAAGUUAUAUUUUCGAGUCAGGUUCAGAAAUGGUUGUUGUUACUAGUGUCAAUAAUAAUGAUUAAUAAUGUAUUUUUUUUUUGCAAAAAUUUCAUUCAUAUUAUCAUUUAAUAAUGUUUACUUUUGCCAUUAAUUAUAUAUAUAUAUAUUAUGUAUACGUAAUUAAUUUAGUUUAAAAAUAAUUCAUAUUUGAGUUAAUUAUGAUUUAUGUGCAUAUAUAUAGAUAAGGUAGUAUCUAACUUUAAUACUUCCUCCUAUUCCUUUUCGUGCGCAUCCCAACGAAAUUGAGUCAUUUUUCGUUUUGAAAUAAAUUAAAGUUACUNUUUUAAACUCUAUAGAUAAGGUAGUAUCUAACUUUAAUACUUCCUCCUAUUCCUUUUCGUGCGCAUCCCAACGAAAUUGAGUCAUUUUUCGUUUUGAAAUAAAUUAAAGUUACUUUUUCAUUCACUCUUUCUCUUUUUCGGGUAAAUAUCAUGAAAACUCCUGAAGUAUACCCGCUUUAUCAAAAAUACCAUGAAACUUUUAAAAUAUUCUCUAAACCCUCAAACUAUCAGGUUUUUAUCAAAUAUAUCCCGCAUCUAUUUUCCGGUCACUAGAAACGUGAUGUGGCUCACCAGAUGUCACAAUGUAAUUUAUUUUCUAUUUUUUAAAAUGCAAUGGCAAAAACGACGUCGUUUCGUACCAUAUCAUUAAAAAAAAUACUCUAAAAUAUAAAAUUCACUUAUAUCGUAUUUGAAAUUCACGCUAAUAACCAAGAAUUAGAAAUAAACACGAUAGAAGAAUAACUUCUAUCGUAUUAGCGUCAAUUUCAAACACGAUAGAAGUGAAUUGUAAAUUUUAUAGUAGAUUUUUAAAAAUGAUAUGGUACGAAACGAAGUCGUUUUUUGCCAUGUCAUUUAAAAAAAAUAGAAUAUAAAUUAUAUUGUGGCAUCCGGUGAGCCACAUCGCGUUUUUGGUGACCGGAAAAUAGAUACGGGAUAUAUUUGAUAAAAAUCUAAUAGUUUGGGGGUUUAGAGAACAUUUUAAAAGUUUCAUGGUAUUUUUGAUAAAUCGGGUAUACUUUAGGGGUUUUCAUGAUAUUUACCCGAAAAAUAGAGAAAGUGAAUGAAAAAGUAACUUUAAUUUAUUUCAAAACGAGAAAUGACUCAAUUUCAUUGGGACGCGCACGAAAAGGAAUAGGAGGAAGUAUUAAAAUUAGAUACUACUUCAUCUAUAUAUAUGCACAUAGGGAAGGGCUAAAAUAAGAGCAUUUCUUAAGAUAUAAAAUAAGAAUCAUUUUCAGCCCUUAGAUCAUCAAGAUCUACGGUUGAUUCAUAAUCCUGUUGGAUGAAUUUAUGGUCCUGGGUUCGAAUCCCAAAGGUAGCAAAAUUUUAUUUUUCACAAUUCAAACCUUUAUACAGCGAAUUCAUACGUGUUCUACAUAAAAUUCAUACAUUAAGAAUUGCUCUUAUUUCUUAUUUUAAAAUGUGCUCUCACGGUAGCCCACCCCUAUGCACAUAAAUCAUAAUUAAUUGGUUAACUCAAAUAUGAAUUAUUUUUAAACAAAUUAAUUACGUAUAUAUAUAAUUAAUGGCAAAAGUAAACAUUAUUAAUGAUAAUAUGAAUGAAUUUUUUGCAAAAAAUAAAAUAAAAAAUACAUUAUUAAUCAUUAUUAUUGACACUAGUAACAACAACCAUUUAUGAUCAUAAAAAAUUGUUCUAAUCUAUUUUUAGUAUUUAUAGGUCUCUUUCUCCAUUUACUAUUAUGUGGGCCUCAUUAUCCACUCACUAACUUAAUUAACUUUUUUCUAUUUUUCUUCAUUUGUGCGCCCCUUUCUUCACUCAAUAAAUAAACAACACAAUUUUUCUUAAAACUUGUGCAUUCCUCCCUUGGGAUAAUAUUUCGUGGACAGAGGGAGUAAUAUACUAUUAUAAGGAUUAAUUAUUUGUAAAUUCAAAAUAUUUUCAAAAAUUUGGGAAUUGCAUUUGAGUUUUUUUUUUCCUCAUGAGAGAUAACUUUUUUUUGCUUUCUAAUUUUGAUCCGAACAUCGGUUUAUCCAAUUUUAAUGUGACAUGGGCAUUGGAAAAUGAUACGCUGGAUACACCAAACACAUCAUAUGACCAAAUGGAAAGAUUAAUAGCUUGUAGGUCUAAGAUGUUCUCAAGAAUUCGAGAAAUGCACUUGAUUCUUUUUUUUUUUUUCCUUCAGGAUACAUAAUCCCAAUUUUAAUUUGACAUGGUCAUCGGGGUUGAUACGUUGGACAUUGUAUUAUUAAACAAAUAUACUACGAUCUAAAAGUAUUCUAAUAUAUUGCAUUUUUUGGUGUCAAUAUUUUUAGGAUUAUUUUUUAUUUUUAUCUAAUUUUAUUUUCUUAUUUUAGUUUAAUUUUGUAGUAAUUGUUAAUUAUGAUUGAUCAUAUCCAAUUAGCGCGAAUUCUUAUUCUUUAGCAUUUAUUUUCAAAUUUUGAAGUUAAUAAUUUAUUAUUUCAUAAUUAGGUAUAAUUUUAUAAAACUUCAACCUUUUAUAAUGAAAUAAUAAAUAAAAUUUAUCAUUAUAAAAAAUAUUAUUAAAAUAAUAAAUUUAAUAGUACUUCUUAAUUAUUUUGUGUAGAGACAAAGAAAUAAUUAACUUUAUACAUUUAAAUGUGGCUUAGCAUUCACGGUAUUUUGGAUAUAUAUAAUUAUUUAUACGCGAAAAGUUUUCAUAUAGUAAUUCUUAGUAUUAAUUAUAAAUUCUUCAUAUAUGGUAAUAUUCACGCAAUAUAUAAUUCAUAUAAUUCUUAGUAUUAAUUAUAAACUCUCCACAUAUGGUAAUAUUAACGCAAUAUAUAAUUACUACUAGGGAUAGAAGUUGAGUUCGAAGAGGAGAAGUAGUAGAACUUACCUUAUAUUUGUACCCUAAAUCUGAUCACCGAUACUUUCUUGGUAACAAAGCUAUCUAUAUAUAACUAGACCUCUCGUCUCUUAAUUACUUAAUCUUUUACAUUAUUCCUUCUCAAGAAACAAAGAAAAAUAUGGCGUUGAAUUUGUGCACCAAGAAGGCUUUUCGAUUUUCCGAUUACUGCAGGCGGAGGAAAUCCGCCGUCAAAUCCAAGGUUGUCGCCGCCUCGCCGCGAGAGGACGGCGUUAACCUCCGCUUCGUCCUAAAAAAGAGGAAAUCGUGCUCGAAUGAGGAGGACGACGACGUCAAUCUCCGCUUCGUCGACGUUAAAAAGAGGAAGGUGGAGUCGAAGAAUCACGGCGUGCUGCGAGAUUCCGAGUUGGAAUCUAGGGUUUUCGGCUUCGCAAGCGCUUCCGGCGCGGUGUCGAACUAUUCCGGCAAGAUGCAGGGGAUCGGGGCGAGCCUGGCGAGGAUCUGCAAGAGCGAGGACGCGCUGCGCGACUGCGGUCGGCUGGACAACUACGAGCGGCUGGACGGGAUCAGCCGCGGGGCAUUCGGGGCCGUCUACCGCGCCCGUGACAGGAGGACCGGCGAGAUCGUGGCCAUGAAGGACCAGUUCGACGGCCUGAGCGUCCCGACGCUGCGGGAGAUCGACAUCUUCAAGUGGCUCGGCCCCCACCCCCGCAUCAUCGAGUUCAAGGAGGUGGUGGCGGACGACUCCGACGGCGUGUACAUAAUGAUGGAGUGCGCCGAGGGCGACCUCCAGCAGUACAUGGAGGAGCAGGAGGAGCGGCUGGACGCCAAGGCGAUGAUGCAGCAGUUGCUGGAAGGGGUGAAGUUCCUGCACGAGAAGAGGGUGAUGCACAGGGAUCUCAAGCCUGCCAACAUCCUCAUCGGCAGCACGGGCUGCUUGAAGAUCUGCGACUUCGGGCUGUCGCGGCGGAUUGAUGUGGCGGCGGGGAUGUACGCGGCUCAGGUCGGGACCAAGUGCUACAGGGCGCCGGAGCUGCUCAAGGGGGUCAAGAAGUACACGGAGGCCGUGGAUAUGUGGGCCGUCGGCUGCGUGAUGGCGGAGAUGUUGUUGAGGUGCGGUGGCGGCGGUUCGGAGGCGGGGCGGCUCGAGACCGUGUGUAAGAUUGUUGGUGGUGGUGAUAAGGGUUAUGAAAGGCUUCGGAGUGAGUUUUUUCCGGAGGAGGCGGUCAGCGGUGCUGGUUUCGAUCUUUUGAAGGGAUUGUUGUGUUGUGAUCCGAGUAAGAGAAUCACGGCGGUCGAUGCUCUCAAUCAUGUUUGGUUCUUGGAGGAUUAGUGAUUUAUCAGUAUAUAUUGCAUGUGGCUAGCUACUAAAGGAAUUGAAUUUCCUUAUAUCAGAUCUGUUAAUUCUUUGUUUUUUUGAAAUGCAAAGAUAUAUAUAUAUAUAUUACAGCAGAUUAACCAAGCUAUGUUAUUUUGAGCAAUAUUAGUCAUUAUAUAUAUGUUGUGUGAUUCUCUGAGUUCUCCCUAAUUAGUAUCGUUAUUGAUGAUCAGUCGUUUUCUUUUAUUCUUCUUAUUAUCAUUUAAAAGGUAUUUUUUUCACAACUUAAUUACGGUUUAGAGAGCGAUGAAUUCAUAAUUUAAGAUCAUUGUUUGCAAUUCAGAAUUAUAUAUAUGGAUUCACCAUUAGGAGUCCAAGCUAUAAAUUCGUAAAAUUAUUUGAGUUUUAAAUUAUGGAUUCACGAUUUAGUUGUUACCCUUUUUAUUUGGUUAGAGCUAAUUAUGCCUUCAAAUGAAACCAAGGGGGGUGUAUUCAUUUCGGAUUUUUAAUGAUUUCUGCAGACUUUUAAAAUUCGGGUGUAUUAGUUCAAGACUUUUAAAAGUCUUUUAAAAUCUGGGUGUAUUAGUUCAAGACUUUUAAAAGUCUUUUAAAAUCUGGGUGUAUUAGUUCAAGACAUUUAAAAGUCUUUUAAAAUCUGGGUGUAUUCGUUAAUCUAUGAAAUUUAAAGAAUGAAUGACUUUCAUUGAUUUCGUUCAAAAAAUAGGCAUCAACAAAUCCGACGACGCACCACGAGAAUUCACAAAUCUGCCAAAAUCACGCGCUCGCUGGGUUCCAGCGCCCGCGGCAAAGAAGCCAGCGGCCGCUGGACCCAGCGCUCGAGCCUGACGAAUCCAGCGGUCGCUGGCAUGCAGCGGGCGCUGGGCUUCAGCGCUCGGAGAAGCCAGCGAUCGCUGGCAUGCAGCGCUCGUUGGGCCCAAAUCACCUGCUGAUCCAACGCUCGCUGGGCCCUAGCGGUCGCUGGGCCCAGCUAAUACUUUAUAAAUACUCGUAUAGCCGUCAGUUUCUUCCUCACACCAAAUCACGAUCCAGACUCGAGAAAAAACAGAAUUUUAGGGUUCUGCAUUAACUAUUAUCAAGGUAUUCUCUCAUAAAUCUUGUAUCUUUAUACUAUUUUGGUAUUCAAUUUUUCUUAGUUAAUUGUAUUUCAAAAUAGAAAAGAAAAAUCAACUCACUAGAUUACAAAAUUUAGAGAAGCUUAUGCAUGCUUUGUUUGACAAAAAUAAUAUACAUAUUUUUUAAUUAUUAAAAGUGGCUACAUAUUUACAUAAAAUACAAAGCCCAAAACAGUGGAAAGCAUGCAGGUUACGCAUAUAUGCAUCUGAGCGCCGUCUCAUAGGCCGUGAAGACGGCGCCGUUGACGACAAAUGCCCGCGCGACGGCCGUCCCCAGGCCUCUCCAGAGCACGCUAUAGCCUUCCCGCCUGACACUGGUGGCGAAGCAGUCGAGCAUCCCGGUAUAGCAGGAGGUGGACUGCGCCUGGAUCCUGGUCUUGACGACGUCCAAGGGGUAGCAGCAGAUCCAGCUGGCGACGCCGGCCAGCCCCCCCGCGACCACCAUGGUGCGCGGGGUCUCCCCGCCGCUCUUCCGGCAGCCCGGGUGUAGCUGCUCGCGCACGUACUCGUACGUCCAGAAGUAGACGCCGUGCGAGGGGGCGUCCCGCAGCACGGUGAUGCCUAACCCGCGGUAUAUCCCCCGCCACCCCUGCGACCGGAUUAUGCUCCUCGCCACGUCCACGGGGCCGCGCCGGCUUUCGGAUGUCUUGCCUUUCUGGUCUAGUUGUAGCCGUAUUUUCAGUAGCUCCACCGGGCUCAGGAGGAGGCUCUGUGUGGCCCCCGUCCCGAUCCCGCCCAGGGCCACGGCUUUGUAUGACGGUGGAUCGUCGCCGCCGUCCAAAGCUCGUGAUAGGAUUGCGUAUGUUUGGAAAGCAAGGGCGUUCUGCAUCCCAUUUUCACAAGACUUUUAAUAACUUGCAAUUAUAACAUCACCAAUUUCUAAUGUCUUACAAUUUUGUGUAUGUCCAUCAUGUUUCACUAUUAAUCAUGUAUCAUUAUAUUAUUAUUUUUAUAUAUAAAAAUAGUAAAUAUUAUGAAUUAUAUUAAUUUUUAUACAAAAAAAUCAGUAAAAUUUUAAAAAUACAUAGUGUACCCUAAGUUUAAAUUUAUCAACCUAUUAUUAGCUAAUAAAAGUAAAAUUAAAUUAUACAAAUAAUUAUACACCUUAACUGGAUUAAAUAAAUCCUAGUUAAUAAUCACAAAAUUAAACUAAAGUAUACAAAAUUAAAAUUGGAACAAAAAUCUGCAAGAAAAUUAAUAAAGAAUUGAAAAUGUGACAUAAAAUGAGAAACAAAAUUGUGGUACAUUGGAUCUCAAUUGCCAAAAGCGGGUAAACAAAUUUUAAAAGAUGGUGUAAUAGCUGUAAUGUUUAAAAACUGCCAAAAUGGUGGAAUUAAAAUUUUCAAAUUCAGGUCAAAUUUGUUACUUAUGUUUAUGCCUAGCUUUGUUAAUUUGUACUGGUCUAAAUUUUUUGGCUCAGACAAAUAAUUUCCAGCAAAUCAAUCUAGAGUUUUUCCCCUUCUAAGAAAUACAAACUUGGCGUAUUUCUUGCAGGCCAACAGAUUCAUAUAUAGAGGUCAUGGUUAAUGUUCCAAAAAUAUCAUAUUAUAGCAUGAUUUAUAAAAUCAGCCUCCAUAGAUUUUAAAUAACUUUCAUGCCUGUCCCCAAGGGGACACCGAGCGGUGCGCACUGGCGGAGCUAGGGGUGGGGCAGGGGGUCACUGGCCCCCCCUGGGAUUUUCAAAAAUACUAGGGUAUUUUCGUAAUUUUAUAUUAAAAAUAAAAAAUAUAUAAUUUUAUCAACAUCAUUAUCUUGUUGAGCUAUUUUAUAAUGUAAUUGAUAUGUAAGCUUUCGAGUUACGACAUUUAGAAUAAGUAAACAUAUAAUUAAUUUAUACUUAUCAUGUUUGGAUUGGAUUCUAGAGAUUUAUUUUUUGAAUUUUAUAUUGAAAGUUACUUUGCCUUACAAAGUUUCAUGGGAUUUUGGAAAAUAAAAUCACGGACUAUUUUGAAUUUAUAAUUUUAAUGUCUUUUUAGUUUGGCGAAUUAAAUCAUUAUUUUUUCAAGUUUUGCAAUUUCGUCCCCCAAUUUUUUUCGAUCGCUAGAGCAUCGAAUUGGAGCUUACAUGGAUUAGUAAAGACGAUGACAUUUUUGUGAGGCCUAAACGACAUCGUUUCGUACCAUUUCAAUUAAAAAUUUCUCCAAAUUAGAAAGAGAUUGUAUCCUGUAUUUGCACUCUAUAUAAUAUUCAAUAUUUAGUAAUUUUAUUGCAAAAUACAUCGUAAAAUGAAUAUGAGCUUGAAAAUCUGUUAAAAUGUGUUUUUGUAAUUUAAAUAAUAUUAUAAUUAUGUUAUUGGUUCAUUUAUUUUUAAUUUAAUUUAAUUUAAUUUAAUUUUUAUUUUUUAAUUUAAUUAUUAAUUUUCUUCUAAAAAUUUUUUUGGACCCCCCUGAAUCGAAAGUCUGGCUCCGCCCCUGGCGGUGCGACUCCUGUCUACGAACGGUGAAGUCCAGGGAUCAAACCCCACCGCUCCCCCUACCCCAAAAAAAUAAAUAAUAAUAAUAAUAAUAAUAACUUUCAUGCUCAAUAAUAAUAACAACAAAAAAUAUAUGAGAAUGUUGAUGAAUUACAUGAAUGUUGAGAAGGUACCUGGAAAGUUACAGAAGCCAAGGGAGCAAACAUCCCUCGGUAGAGGCUGCACGGCCCCUCUUUCACCACGGCACGGCGGAGAAUGGCGAAAGCCGAUUCUCCGGCCGAAUGCUGCUGCCGGAUUCUCAGCGUGUCGAGCGGGUAUCCGGCCAGAACACCGGCGGUUCCGCCCACUCCGCCGGCCACAAAUUCUCUUCCCCAAUUGCUCGCCACAAACUCCCGCCACAAAUCCAUUAUACCUUCAAAUAUAUUUUAUUGGAGAAAAAGAAAAACAAUCUCCUUUUCUUCUCCUUUUUACUUUACAAUGAAACUUUCUUUUUAUUGUUCUAGAAUACAAAAUUUUCAGACUUCACACAUACAACACAUCCUCUUAAUGCGUAGAUCGAGCAGAAAGAAGAUUAUGGCUGUUUAUUUUUAUUUUUUUGAAUGUGUGAAGAUUGAAUGAUGGUGAAUUUUGGUUUGUGCAGAGAUGUUAAGAGAAGAAACAGCGGGAGCCUCGGAACUAACUUUGGUUUCCUUAAAAGAGAAGACGCAUAUUCCAUAUUUGUUUGGAUCAGAUCACCUGCUUAUGUCGGAAAAUAGUUAAUAAAUUUUCUCAUAAAUAUGGUUUAUUUUAUUUUAUUUUACUGUAUCCUAAGUUUAAUUUUAUUUGUUUCACUAUCCCACAAAGAGUUUCUAAAAUUUUUAUUAGUGUGGUGAGACAGGAGUCGUAUUUAAUCAAUCAUGUGUUUUACCGUAAGACCCACACAAACUAAAUUUGAUUUGCUUUUUGUUUUUGAGGAUAAAAUUUGAUUUGUUAUUGUAAAAAGAGAGUUAUAUUGUUUACCUUCUCUCUCUCUCUCUCUCUUUUUUUUUUUUUAAAUAUGUUAUUGUUCAUUUAUGCCAAUCUCUAUGUUCUUUUUUUUUUUUCGAGAAAAGGCCAGUCUCUUAAGUCUUAAGUAGAUUUCUUUACCUUUAGAAUAAUAUUCUAUACUUUUUAUGACAAUGUGCAAACGAUCGUAGUUAGUGUUAAGGAGUGGUAAUUAAUUAAUCCGACUAAAAGAAAAAAAAACCGCCUAGAAAAAAAUUAAUAAUUAAUUAGUGGGUAAUUAUAGUAUUUGAUUAAAACCACCGAUUAAUAAUUAGCCUCAAAAAAAAAAACCCACCGAUUAAUAUUUAUUAAGUUGUCUCCCGAAAGUUUGGGCCACACCCAAAUUCAUUCUUUAUCUGAAACAAAAUUAUAGUUUUUGGGCUUAAAUUCUAAAAUAACUUGUGUAGCCCAAUGCAAUAUGAAAUUUUUUCAAAUUUAUCUUUUCUUUUUCCCGAGAAAAAUCUUGUUUAUCUUUAAAACCUUACGCCUUGAGACUUCAGUGAUAGCUCAGGCUUCAGAAGCCAAAAAUGGCGCUCUCAACGGCCAAAUUCACCGAACUACAGCCGCACCUCUUGUCCACCUUCUCAUUCCCCCGCCGCAAACCGCCGAGGUUCCACCGACUCCUCUUCAAACCUCUCUCUUCCUUUCCCCGUCCCACCAAAUUACCCCAUACGCCUGCCGGAAAGCCCAGCAUUCCGCAGAAGCCGUCGUCUGCCUGGAUAAAAAAAUGGCCAUCUCCUCCACCUGCGCCGCCGCCGCGCUCGAAAGCCGCUCCGAAGAAGCCCGAACAGAAACCGGAAACACUUCGUGGAGGUACCACGGCGAUUGAUCGAAUUGUUCUCCGCCUGCGGAAUUUAGGUUUAGGCUCCGACGACGAGGAGGAGGAAGGAGGAGAGUUAGGUUUGGAUUUGGAGAAUGAUAAUUUGAAUCCGAUUGAUUCGAGAAAUGUUGAAUGUGGAGAUGAGAAAUUGGGAGAUUUGCUGAAAAGAGAUUGGGUUAGACCGGACACGAUUCUGGUGGAAGACGAGGGUUUUGAAUCUGAGGCGCUGUUGCCGUGGGAGAGGGGCGUGGCUGAGGAUGAAGAAAUGGUGGAGCAUAAAGUUGGACUGAAGAAGAGGACAAUGCGGGCGCCUUCGUUGGCGGAGCUGACGAUAGAAGAUGAAGAGUUGAGGAGGCUGCGGAGAAUGGGGAUGACUUUGAGGGAGAGGGUGAGCGUUGCCAAGGCCGGAAUUACGGCUGCAGUUCUGGAGAAGAUACAUGAGAAAUGGAGGCGGUGUGAGCUCGUGAGGUUGAAGUUUCAUGAAGAAUUGGCGCAUGAUAUGAAGACUGCGCAUGAAAUAGUUGAGGUUGGUGAGUUUUAGUGUUGUUUUCUUAUUAAUUUAAUCUCAAAUCACAUUUACUUAAAUAGUUAGUUCAUUUUGCCAUUUACAUAAGAAUUGUGUCCAUGAUUCUUGUUCCUGUUUCUUUAUGGCGGGUAACGGGUUCGUUAAAUUUCUCCACAUAAAACUUAAUCAUACUAAUGUCAUUCAUUUUAUCGAAGGCUUGCAAAAAAUUGAGUCUUGAAGGAUAAGAGUGAAGAUGAUUUGAGCUUAUAUUGAUAUAAACUAUAAUCCAUGCAUGUGAGUACAUUCCCGUAAGAAACUAGAAAUAUAUUAAUCCCUCCCUGCUUGUUUUUUCAUUUCAGUAAGAAAGAAUGUAGUGAGGUUAUAAAAGCUGUCUGCAUUUUCUCUGAUCAGCGCCGAACAGGGGGGCUAGUCACUUGGAGAUCGGGAAGUGUUAUGGUGGUAUAUAGAGGAGCUAACUACGAAGGCCCUACAUUAAAGCCACAGAGAGAAAACAGUGAACACGAUACUCUUUUUGUCCCUGAUGUUUCCUCCCCUCACGAUUCAGCCACAAAAAGUAGUGAUGGAAAGACUCAGGUUCUUGAGAAGUCCAAUCCAGUUACACCUAAUCGUGUCAAGAACAUAACAGAAGAGGAAAUUGAGUACAAUAGUCUAUUAGAUGGUUUGGGUCCACGGUUUGAAGAUUGGUGGGGAACUGGGGUGCUCCCUGUUGAUGCUGAUCAACUCCCUCCGAAUAUUCCUGGAUAUAAGACACCAUUUAGGCUUCUUCCUACUGGAAUGCGUCCACGACUAACCAAUGCUGAGAUGACCAACUUACGGAAGCUUGCUAAGUCGCUUCCUUGCCAUUUUGCCCUUGGUAAUUUACCGCUUGUAUGUUCUUCCAAUUAGUAAAGUAUGCUCUGAUUUGUUUUCUCUGUUUAAUCUUGCAGGAAGAAAUAGAAAUCAUCAAGGUUUAGCUAGAUCCAUAGUUAAGCUAUGGGAGAAAAGUUUAAUUGUGAAAAUUGCCGUGAAGCGUGGAAUCCAGAACACAAAUAACAAAAUUAUGUCUGAGGAACUGAAGGUAUGCAGAUCCGAAGGCAUAUUGUUUGCAUUGAGUAACCUAUGUAACAACGGUAUAUAAGAAAAAUGUUUCUAUUGGUUCAUUCCAGUGGAUAACAUAUUACAAAAACUCAGUCGGUAACAUUUCAUUACGUUUCUUUUCAUUUUGUUUGUCAUUUCUCUUCACUUUUCCUCUCUACUGGUAUGGUGUAGGCAUUAACAGGGGGAGUCUUACUUUUGAGAAACAAAUAUUUCAUUGUUAUGUACCGCGGGAAGGAUUUUCUUCCCCCCACUGUGGCUAGUGCCUUGGCAGAGAGACAGGAAAUGACAAAGCAAAUACAAGAUGUUGAAGAAAAAGUCAGGGGAGGACCUGUACCGCUGCCAGUAUCUGAAGAGAAGGGAGCUUUGGCAGGCACUUUGGCAGAGUUUUAUGAGGCUCAGGCUCGAUGGGGAACAGAAGUAUCCACUGAAGAACAUAAAAAGAUGAUAGAAGAGGCAUCCAGAGCCAAACAUGAGAGAGUAAUCAGGCGACUUGAACACAAACUCGCUACUGUAAGUGUGUCUUAUUUGCUGAAUGAUCAAUUGAUGUCAUUGUGGAUUAUUCUCUCUAGCAUGUGAUCUGAUCAACUUAAUGCAAUUACAGGCUCAGGCAAAGAAGCUCAAAGCAGAGAAACUGCUAUCUAAAAUAGUGGAUUCUUGGCUUCCAGUAGAUCCUUCAGAUGACCAGGAGACAAUUACAGAUGAAGAAAGAGUUAUGUUUCGUAAGGUUGGAUUACGAAUGAAACCAUACUUGCCACUCGGUGGGUUUUCUUUUUCUCAGAGUUCAAUUAUCAAAAUUAAAACUUUAUCUUGUGAAGUAUAUAUUUUAAAUAUGGAAGAGGAGAAUCAUGUUUUAUUUGUUGCAAUCUCCAGGCAUUCGUGGUGUUUUUGAUGGUGUUAUUGAGAACAUGCAUCUGCACUGGAAACAUAGAGAAGUUGUAAAGUUAAUAUCAAAGGAAAAGGAACUUGCAUUUGCUGAAGAAACUGCAAGACUUUUGGAAUAUGAGAGUGGUGGUAUACUAGUGUCAAUCGACAGGGUUCCAAAAGGUUAUUGCUUGAUUUACUACCGUGGCAAGAAUUAUCGCCGUCCUAUCACUAUAAGACCGAGAAACCUUCUGACAAAAGCAAAAGCACUGAAGCGUAGAAUGGCCUUGCAACGAUACGAAGUUAGUCAUCCACUAAUAUUCCCGUUUUAAUAUGAACUUAAUCUAAUAAUCUAUUUGAAAUGUGAGCUCUAAGUUGAAUGAUUUCGCUGAUGAUUAUGUAUGCUAAUUUAUGUCUUACAUUGUUGUGUAGGCUCUUAGUGAGCACAUAUCUGAAGUGGAGAAAACAAUUGAGCAAACCAAGAAGGAGAUAGUAAGUUGUGCUGCUUUUGGUUGCUGUUUAAAAAUAUCAAUGAAAUUACAAUUUUCUAUUUAUGUUCGAGCAUACAAGGUUGGCCAUUAAUGUUAUUUCAUAUUUUAAUUAACUAAAGAAUCUCUAUCGGUACUCCUUCACCUUCUUGUUAAGGACUCUCUGUUUCUUGAACCUAUUUAAUUCAUAGGAACUUCACUUCUUUGCAAAAUUUGUUCUAUGGGAUUGCUCGCCAUACUUAUUAUCUGCUAUAGUUUUGUACUAUCCUUUUCUUUUUUACAUCUCCUAAUCCGGAAAUGUAGUUUUUGGUGUGGUAGAUGAUCUUUUCUGCAGAUCGUCCCUGAAAGAAUUACCUUUCAUCUCUCAAAUUAUGGAUUGAAAUGAUAAGAUGUUGUCAUUCUGAUAUAAUGACCAAUGAUUGAAUCUUAAUGAGAUGUGUGCCUUUUCUGAUAUGGUAUUUCUUAUGUUUCUGAGAUUUAAUUCUCUUUAUUCCAUUAGGGCAAUCCUGCAAAACUGGAGAAAAGCGAUCUUUGGAAGUCAGAGGACCAUGGCCAGUUCUCUAAUGUCUCAGAAGUGAGUGAAGUAAGCUAGUUGACUUAUCUUAUUUGCUUUAGAGUACGUGGAUGAUUAUGAGCACUUAAACCAAAGCGCCCCAUCGAGAAUCGAAGAUUGUUAACAAUGUUUUAUGUUUUACCCACACUCACAAUACAACACAGAAUAUGAAUGAUGUUUUUUCCACGUGUACAGAUCGAGGAUGAAGGCUCGGAAGGUGAUGAAGACGAGGAAGAGUGGGAGUUGGAGGAUGACGAAGAAGAUUCAGAUCUAUCGAGUCUUGAUGCUUAGAUUUUUCACCUAAUAAAGCUGGCUAAACCAAAAAUGGUGCCGUGCUUACCCGUUAUAUAGGAGCUCUGCACAAUGAAUUGAAGAUGGAAGAGUGGAGCUAAACAAGAAAGAAUCAUCCAUACAUUUACUAACGCCUUAUGAGAGAACUGCCACUUCCAAAUUUUUCUUGGAGGAUUUUUGCGUUUGGGAGGCAUUGUACAGCGAUUAUCGAUCAACAGCUGUAAGCUUAAAGAGUGAGAGCACCGUAUAAUGCUUCAAACUAAGAAGAUGAACUUCAGUCAAUGUAAUGUAUAGUUGUUGUGUACAACUACUUGUAAGUAAUACAAUCAAUUAGCUUGAUUUCACGUGACUACUUACAACUACUUGUAAGUAAUUGGAAUUAUCAAUUUUUCAAGUCAGUGGCAUCAUUUUAGCAAUAAAACACCGAUGUUCCAACUCGUUCAUCUAAACCCACAUACAGGGAAACUGCCAAUAGACAUCAUUUUACUAUAUCUGAAAAUUGACAGAGAUAAACUCCAGAUACAAGUAUAUGCCCAUUCUCACCAUCAAAAUUAAAUGCAAGCAUACAUAGAGAGGAAAACAUAUAGCUCAUUGAGUUAGGCAAUCUAAGCCCUAAGCUACAUUGCAAGUCAUAAAAAUAAAAGAUCACUCAUCGUUGGAACUAGCUCAGAAGUAUAGAGGCUGCAGCAUUUGCAACAGAUGUGGAUGCUCGAAACAGAAUAUAGUGCAUCGCAAUAGAUCACUCAUUGACGAAGCAUUUGCUGCAAAUGAAGAACUUGGUUUCUUUGUUCCGCCGGGAGCAUAUUGAUCUGUUCCGGAGUGAGACUCAUAACCUGCUGAAGUAAUGCCUUUUCGAACUCCGGAGUCAACUGCAGGAUUACAAAGAUUGGAUCAUCUAUGACUAUCUGUAGUAGAAGUUCCUGCCUUAGUUUUACUCGAGAGAUCAGAAUAAAUAUAUAGAAGAUGAAGAAUUAAUACCGAUGGUGGUCGAGGAAGCUGGUUGCUGGGACCUGCUUGACCGGGAAACCCUGGUUGUGGUCCUAAAAGCUGGCCCAUCGUAUUUUCAGGAAGGCCAGGUAUCCAAUUGGAUCCCCUGUCUGUUUGCUUGGAGCUUCCAACUUGAUUGAAAUCCAUUCCUAAGUGAGGACUUCCUGCCUGAAGCCACAAGAAUAUGCAAGCUUAAGUUAUCAAUCCAAAUUGCCACAAUCAUCAUGUGCACACAUGUGCUGAAGAGUUGAACAAGUAUCAAAGCCACAUUUAAAGGGUCACGGUACUCUUUGUUGCAUGAAUUUAAUUGCUGGAUUGCUCUAGAAAAAACAUUCAUAACCACCGAAAUGUCUUUGGAACACUAGAAAGUAGAAAGUUAGUCAUUGUUACUUACUAACGAUUAGUAAUUAUUAGUUAAACAUGGAAUAAAAGUCAGAUAGGUUCAAGAAUCCACAGUAAAAGCCAGCAGAAACAGCCAGAUCGUAUCAAAUCAAACAAGAAACACUCUGGCAAUCUUAUAUAUGGCAUCGAGCCAAUUGCAGGCCAAACCUGAUACAUUGAUUGAGACAAAGGUUGAUUUGGAAGUGGCAACUGUCCCUGUGGAAAUGAAGGCCCCAUACCGGAAGGAGGCUUUGAACCUGACUGAAAUUAGAUAAUUUCAACAUUUUCAAAGACAAAGACAGGUUGCAUGUUUGAAAGAAAUAACUGAAAGUACCUACACCAAACUCACAUGAAACAUGUGUUGUGAAUGAUGCAUCUGUGGUCCACUAGGAUGCUGAAAGCCCGGAUUUGGUCCCAUUUGAGCUUGAGCCUGGUGAGGAAAGCCUGGCAUUGGUGGUCUUGGUUGUGGUGGCAGUGGUGGUUGGAGGGGUAAAUACUGGCUGCCUGUAUUUGGCAGAGGUUGUUGUGAUUGCGUGAGCAAUGAAGGCAUAGGGAGAUGAUGAAGGGAGGGUGACUGGGAAGCUGUAUGCUGCGGCAAUUGAGUCAAACUAGAAACUUGAGAGGGCUGUGGUACAGACAUUGGCAUCGACUGAGCACUAAUAUGUCCCUUAGGUUGCUGUGUUUGGUGUAAGGGAUGUGAGGGCAUGGACUGGGGUUGAGGGUUUGGAGGAGGAUGAGGUUGGGAGGGAGGAUGUGAUGCCAUAGGUUGGUUAAGCUGCUGUUUUCUUAUUUGAUUCUGACCAAUCGGACCAGAAACUGGUGCUGCCGCCUGAAUGGUGGGCUGCUGAUUUGAGAUAGCUGAUGGCUGUGGAUUCUGAGAUACUGCAGAUGAAAUGGCCGGUGACUAAACAAAGCCAAAGUGAUUAGACAAUUUUCACAAAGCCAAAGUGAUUAGAAAAAUUUUCAGGAAUAAAAUAAGCAAGAAAGGUAUCAAUGAGACAAAAGAGCAUACUGCUUGUGAGGACUGCACCAUUCCAAGCAUGAUUUGUGCCUAAUGAAAGAAAUGAUUCAAUGGAAUAAAAGUCAGAAAAAAAUAAUUAUUUUAUCCUGAAAAAUCUAUCACAGAUCGUCGAAGAGUAUUGGGGAACUUAAAAAAUUGAAAGAUGAGUGGAUGAUUCAUAAAAUUCCAUGGUUUCAGAACUAUUUAAGAACAUGAAAUAUGCACAAGUCAAGGAAAAGGUUCCAUGAAACUGACAGAAAAUAUUACAUAAUGAGGUCAAUAAGUAGAAUUAUCGAGUUCAUAUCAAGAAAAAGUCUCCUGGACCAGUAAUAGCCACAUCUGACUAGCAGACAUUCACUUGUGAUUACUCCAAUCAUUUCAGCAUAUGUGAUGAGCUGAAAGAGGAUCUCAGAUUCCAUCCAAACAGCCUGUGACUUUUCACAUGAUAUACUGGGAUUUAUCAACACUAAGCAAACUAUAAAUCUACAAAAUAAUUACAAUGAUUGAAUAGAAAAUAGGUGCAAGAAGAGAGGGUUACAGACUAACAGAGAAUUUCAUGUCACCUAAAAAAGGGCAAAAGUAAAUUUAAUCGUUUUCAUAUCUCAUAUCGUAUAUCUCAAGAACAAGAGAGCAAAAGGAUCAAAAAUUGAAUAAUAUCACAAGAACACGCUCACUAACAACUUAUAUAAGGCAUGCGAUCCAUCUAGUAUAAUAAACACAGCCCCAAAUCAUUCACGUAAAAUUAUCUCUUCCGCGUCUACAGGACAAACUCAGCACCAUACCCAAGCAAAUCAAGAAUAGCGAGCCUCAUUUGUCAUUACAAGCUAUAAAGAUUAAUUGCUUUCUUAACAAUACAUCAAGUGUAAAACUUUCUGGGUUGUGUUUUUCUUAUUUCUCAAUAACUUCUAGAAAUUAAAAUAAGAAUACUUAUUUUAUUACUAUUUUUCGAGGCUUUACUUAUUAUGAGUUUACAAUAACUUACAUGAAAACCCAACACAAAAGUAAAGGAAAUGCAAUGGAAUAUUUCAUGGCAUAAGGUCUAAUCCAAAACUAAAACAAAAUAAAAUUAUCACGCGAAGACAACCCUAAAUUACAGGAUACCUGAAAAAGAGCUUUAGUCAAAGCUGGAUUCUGGAUUAGAAUUUGCCUCGCUUGUUGCUUGUUCUGCUCUAUCAAUGCCUGCACACACCAAAGUUCAAAUUUCAAACUAAAAUCGUCCAAUUUCGAGUUCUAAAAUAACGAAUUACGUAUAUAGCCGAACAACGAAAAUUGAUCGAUAAGCCCGAGUUGUCUGGGUACGAAUAAACAUUGUAUAACGGAAGUCAAUCAGAACCUUCAUCUGACACAUGAUGUCGUAGAGCUGGUUUUUGGACAUUCCGGCGAGGCUCGGUGGAACUCCGUCGCCGGAGAUUUGCUUUCCCGCCAUUCUUCUUUCCGCACCCAAAAGUUUUUUUAACAGAGAAACCAAGCGUCCUGGAAGAAAUACCCAAUAUUGAUGUCUAAUUAGGGCUUGUUUGGCUGAAUAGAUUUUCUUGAUUUAGAAGUUCACUAAAUCGAAAAGAAAAAAAAAAUUGCUAUUUUAUUCAUGAGGUCCGAUCCGAUCUAUAAAUUUGGGCUUUUGUGUAACCCAUUAGAAAGUUUGGGCCCGGCCCACACUCAAAACAGCUCGUAUUGACUAUUUUUGGGACUCUCUCCGUCUCUUUGUCUCUCUCUCUCUCUCUCUCUAUCGCACAAUUGGGUGAGUGGAUAUUUGGUGGGCAUCGGAGUAGAAGGUACAGUAGACUACUCCAUCUGCACGCGCCGCCGCGGAUGGCGUACUCGUCCUUAUUCCUCUGUCUACCAGCUUCUACUCCCAAAGCGGAGUUGAUAGCUUCAACCUUGUCGACAUUUAUGACUUCUUCUACAAUUACAAACGCCCUUUCUCCGCUGCCGUCUUUCCCGAGUAGCCGCAGCUCAAUCGUGGCGCGUGGCCGCCGGAGAUCAUUGAUUGUGGGUAUGGCACCUGAAGAAGAGAAGAUGACUCGCCGUUCGCCUCUUGAUUUCCCCAUCGUUAGUUUGUCUCUCUCUCCCUUUUUUUUGUGAACUUUUCAUCGAACGCUUUUCUCGUGUGUCGUGUGUCUGCCCCUCUUUUC